RNAcentral lists this transfer RNA (86 nucleotides) under Pantoea agglomerans. RNAcentral describes it as "tRNA-OTHER". Lineage: Bacteria; Pseudomonadati; Pseudomonadota; Gammaproteobacteria; Enterobacterales; Erwiniaceae. The record is from RNAcentral.
AGAGACAAUGGCAAACAAUUAAAAACAUGCCAAUUUUAUGACUCAUAAUCGCUUGGUCGCUGGUUCAAACCCAGCAGGGGCCACCA